Monodelphis domestica (gray short-tailed opossum) is the source of this 63-nucleotide microRNA precursor. The record is from Ensembl. Lineage: Eukaryota; Metazoa; Chordata; Mammalia; Didelphimorphia; Didelphidae.
GGAGGAAGUUUGCCUCCCCCCACCUUGCCAUGCCUUUUGGUGGAGAGGGGAAAACUCCUUAGC